This 82-nucleotide microRNA precursor is filed under the name Macleaya cordata. Its description in RNAcentral is "mir-156 microRNA precursor family". It matches the Rfam family "mir-156 microRNA precursor family". Rfam says of the family: This family represents the plant microRNA (miRNA) precursor mir-156. Animal miRNAs are transcribed as ~70nt precursors and subsequently processed by the Dicer enzyme to give a ~22nt product. Lineage: Eukaryota; Viridiplantae; Streptophyta; Magnoliopsida; Ranunculales; Papaveraceae. The record is from Rfam by way of RNAcentral.
CUGACAGAAGAGAGUGAGCACACCCAAGCAAUUGUAUAAGGGUAUGCCGUUGUUGGUGCGUGCUCACUUCUCUUUCUGUCAG